UAGAGUUUGAUCCUGGCUCAGGAUGAAACCUAGCUACAGGCUUAACACAUGCAAGUCGAGGGGCAGCGUGGAGUAGCAAUACUCUGACGGCGACCGGCGAAAGGGUGAGUAACGCGUGAGCAACAUACCCGUCUGAGGGGGAUAGUCGAUGGAAACGUCGUGUAAUACCCCGUAACAACAGAGGCCGCAUGACCUUUGUUUAAAAGAUUCAUCGCAGACGGAUUGGCUCGCGUACCAUUAGCUAGUUGGCGGGGUAACGGCCCACCAAGGCGACGAUGGUUAGGGGUUCUGAGAGGAAGGUCCCCCACAUUGGAACUGAGACACGGUCCAGACUCCUACGGGAGGCAGCAGUGAGGAAUAUUGGUCAAUGGCCGAGAGGCUGAACCAGCCAUGCCGCGUGCGGGAUGACGGCCCUAUGGGUUGUAAACCGCUUUUGUUGGGGAGCAUAAGGUCCACGUGUGGACUGAUGAGAGUACCCAGCGAAUAAGCAUCGGCUAACUCCGUGCCAGCAGCCGCGGUA
Molecule: ribosomal RNA, 520 nt
Filed under: uncultured bacterium
Lineage: Bacteria
Description: bacterial SSU rRNA
Rfam family: Bacterial small subunit ribosomal RNA
Source: RNAcentral